GGGAGAGCCGCGGAAGGAGACGGGAGGAAGAGUAAGAUAUAUAGACAACUUGGAACAACAGCUACAUUUUAUAAGUGUAAAUAAACUAAAAUCUGGGGAGAAUAUCAACUGGCAUGAAGGAACUUAGAAAUCUUGGUGAUGAACAUGAUAGUUUUUCUUCGCUAGCUGGGAUCGUCUGGAAUUAUCCCUUAUAGUGGAAUACCAGCAAUACUGAAUACUGGUUGGGUGGAUCAAUGCUGCAAGGUCCCUCGGAAAACUUCCUUCCGUAUUUCCAUUUAUUGCUGUUGCUGACAUAUCUUAAAAGCCAUUAUUAGUUUUUGGUUUGUGGAACUUGGGAUUUUGUACAAAUAGAUCAGUUAUGAUACGAACAGCUCAUAUGACAUUUUGAAGAGAGCAUAUUCAUACCAAAGGCUUCCACCUAGAAAGUUUAGAAACAACUGUCCUUCCAACAGUUAAAUUCUUGAGUGCCACAGAGAGGUAUUGGGGUUUUCCUGAUGUUCUUGGCUUGGAUCUAAACUUCAUUCUGAAGCUCCAGCUCAGAUAAAAAUCCCAGUGAUAUCUGUAGGAGUUUGCCAACAUAAGGGCUUCAGGAUUCAUCCUCUCUUUGACUAUGAACAAAUUUUUGCCACUGUUUCCACUGAAGAUUAAACAGGUUAGGAAGAAUGAGUUUGUAAUUGUCCUUGCCUUGAGUAUCAUCAGUGUAGUUGCCAGCUAAGCAGGAACUGCAAAACCUUUAUAAUUGAGGAAGUUUGAUUUGCAGAGCCUAGUUGUAGUUUGUGGCACCGGAAGUUAGAAAACCAGAGCAAGAUUCUUUCCUCUGCUGAGAUCUGCUCUGUGCAAGGGACAGCAGGCUGUGGGAGUCCGUUGCAACUCCCUGAUUCUCCACCUUGCACAACUCCAGCCCUAACCCUGGCAUAGGGUAGAAUGACCUAGGGGCUGCUCUGACCUAUGCUAGCUGGCAACAAUUCCUAAGGGACUACAGGACAUCUGAGAAAUGAAGGAACACAGCUAGCUGUGAUCCGUCUACAUUCGCAGGAUGUCCUCUACACUGGAGUUGAGGUAGGGGUGUGGCUGUAGGAGUGUUGUCUAUACGUGCAGAGAGUUUCCUUCCACUCACUGAGAGUAUUCACAAUUGGCCAUGUGUGGUCAAUGUUCUGCAGUACCUGAGUGGCACAAAGGGGUGGAUCAGGGGAGAGAAUCAGGCCCAUAACUUUUUAUUUAUUUAUUAGCAAAAGUCAUAGCCUUGUUCUGAUCCCACAUCAGAACGCGGCUGUAAGUCAAGGAAGUUAAACUAGUAUAGAACUGGUGAGACCAGAAUGAAGUGGAUUGAUAAAGAAUACAUUUGGGAUCCCAUUUAUUUUUUAGCAGAAUCACUUUUCAGAAUAGAACUGUGCUGCAUGUGGCUAUGAAACUUUGAUGCCCUUUGUUUUCAGAGUAUUAGACCUUAUUUAAAAGCACACCUCCCAUGUGCAGAGUUUGUCAGCCAGUUUAUUCUCAGAUACUGUGACGACGAGAGACACAUACAGUGUGUUCACUCACACAAACUUUUGUUCUUUCUUACUUUGUUGUUCUUCUCAAUGUAAAACAAACACAAAGAUCUGUUUGGUCUUUGUGCACGGAGAAGCAUAACAACAACCCCCCUGUAAAGAUGAUUUUGGACCUUUAAAAGGUUGGGACUGGCUCUGUCAUGCUCUAUGAACUUCAAGAUUCAAAAAACCCAGGUGGAGUAAACUGAAAUAGUGGCUACAUGUGGGAAACAACUCAUAGUAUAUGAAAUAUAACUGUUUUUGACCUCGUAGGAGUUAAUGGCAGUUUGAUUUCCUCAGCCAUAUCCUCUUUGCCACAGACAGCAGAAGUCAUCAUGGUGAAACAGACUUUCAAUGGAAAAUCAUCCUGCAGCUUCAGCUAAAGCAGAGAUUUGUGACAGGAUAAAACCCCAAGGUAAUUUUUAAGAGGAAGAUUCUUAAUGACCUCUCCCAGCUUGUGAGGCAAAGGAUUUCACGUUCCAAGUGGUUUAUGAGUCUUGCACCUGCAGGCCAGCAUAGUAAUCAGUAGCAUGACAAAUGUAGGGCUGGAUCUUGCAACCUCACAUGAGCUAUCUUUACUCAUACUUGCAGUCCCACUGAGCCUGAUCCUAAUCCCCUUAAUCAGGGCCUGAUUCUGAUCCCAUUGAAGCCAAAUAGCUUAGCUAUCGAUUUCCAUGAAAAUGGGGCUUGCUUAGGAAAAACUCCUGUAGAAGGCAGGGAGAAUUUUUCCUCAGUAACGGUGCAGCAGACAAUAUUGAGAAUAUGGCUUACUGAGUUAAUUGGUACAACUCAGUUGAGUAAGGGAUGUAGGAUAGGGAUUUGAACCAGUAUGGAAAAUGUUGCAUGCUGGGAGAGGAUCAAAUCUCAAUUGUCACUUAUUCAUAAGUCUCCACAAUAAGGAACUAAAAUUACAUUGUCCAGAUCACAUUAUUGAUGUAUGUAUCAGUUAAUAACAUGAGUAACUGGAUGUGAUAGCAACCAGACAUCUAAUAUGAGGUGAUCAAUAUUUCAAAAUGAAGCCUUGUCAAUGCAAAAUACAUUAAGAAAUCUCAAAGUAUCUGUUUCUGUAUAUAUAGUAUUUAAUUAAACUGAUUUAUUCUCUUACAAAGAGACCAGGUCAAUAUCCUCAUCUAGAAAUAAAAACCAUAGCUUGUUAUGCAUUAAAAAGAGACCUGCAUAUUUGGCUCUAAUGUCAUUUCUCUUUUUAAUGUUAUAAACAGGUAUUGCAAAUAUUGUGAGGCCUGGAAGCCUUUUAUCCAAUUAAACUGAGUAGGACUUUUCUCCAAGCACUGUAUUUUGCACAAGAUAGAUUUUUGGAUCUAAAUUUAGUUAGUUACUCUCAUUGUAUUAUUCACGUCUCAUUAUAAUACUUCAUAGAGUUACUCUGACAGUGCCUGAAAGCAUAUAUGAUGUAUACAACUCUUUUAAAAGUCAAAAGAAAGCAAGGGGACGAGGUGGACGAGGCUGUCUUCAGGCAACUAACAAAAGUUACUAGAUCACAGGCCCUAGUUCUCAUGGGGGACUUCAAUCACCCCGAUAUCUGCUGGGAGAAC
Molecule: long non-coding RNA, 3079 nt
Organism: Gopherus evgoodei (Goodes thornscrub tortoise)
Lineage: Eukaryota; Metazoa; Chordata; Testudines; Testudinidae
Exons: 3
Source: RefSeq, a predicted model, not a curated record